This 335-nucleotide long non-coding RNA is filed under the name Elaeis guineensis (African oil palm). RNAcentral's name for it is "long non-coding RNA (EGUI_LNC028064)". Lineage: Eukaryota; Viridiplantae; Streptophyta; Magnoliopsida; Arecales; Arecaceae. The record is from RNAcentral.
GCUGUCCGAUAGCACAAAAGAAAGCCAUCCUCCACUAGACCGCAUAUGAACCAAGCUGCACUGUUCAGUGGACUGCCAUGGACCGACUAGCUGGUCCAUGGUGAACUGGGCAGUAUUUAGGCCACCUUUGGGCUUGGUUUUGGCUUGAUUUGGGUCCAAUUUGAAUAGGCAUUGGGCUUGGAUUUGGACCACCUUUGGGUCUCCAUUCAUGAUCUAUUUUAAGUCUGAUUUGCUCCUAAUUUGAGUCUUUUUAACCUACGAAUCAAGCUCUUUAUAUUAACGAUCAUCUUUUCUACAAAAGAUAAAUGGAAGUAUCAAUUUUUAAAAAAUAAAGA